Molecule: ribosomal RNA, 537 nt
Filed under: uncultured Mycobacterium sp.
Lineage: Bacteria; Bacillati; Actinomycetota; Actinomycetes; Mycobacteriales; Mycobacteriaceae
Description: bacterial SSU rRNA
Rfam family: Bacterial small subunit ribosomal RNA
Source: RNAcentral
CAUGCAAGUCGAACCGAAAGGCCCUUCGGGGUACUCGAGUGGCGAACGGGUGAGUAACACGUGGGUGAUCUGCCCUGCACUUUGGGAUAAGCCUGGGAAACUGGGUCUAAUACCGAAUACACCCUUCUGGCUGCAUGGUCUGGGAGGGGAAAGCUUUUGCGGUGUGGGAUGGGCCCGCGGCCUAUCAGCUUGUUGGUGAGGUUACGGCUCACCAAGGCGACGACGGGUAGCCGGCCUGAGAGGGUGACCGGCCACACUGGGACUGAGAUACGGCCCAGACUCCUACGGGAGGCAGCAGUGGGGAAUAUUGCACAAUGGGCGCAAGCCUGAUGCAGCGACGCCGCGUGAGGGAUGACGGCCUUCGGGUUGUAAACCUCUUUCGCCAGGGACGAAGCGCAAGUGACGGUACCUGGAGAAGAAGGACCGGCCAACUACGUGCCAGCAGCCGCGGUAAUACGUAGGGUCCGAGCGUUGUCCGGAAUUACUGGGCGUAAAGAGCUCGUAGGUGGUUUGUCGCGUUGUUCGUGAAAACUCACA